RNAcentral lists this long non-coding RNA (1468 nucleotides) under Triticum aestivum (bread wheat). Its description in RNAcentral is "long non-coding RNA (TAES_LNC014531)". The record is from RNAcentral. Lineage: Eukaryota; Viridiplantae; Streptophyta; Magnoliopsida; Poales; Poaceae.
AAAAGCUUCAAAUAUGAACACGAAAUUUAACAUAUAGAGUGAACGAAACUACGACCCGAUCGCCUGAAUGGAAUCAGAACAUCAAGAUGCAUAUUUUUUAUGUACAACUUAUGACGAAUCGUAGCAUGGUUGUGUAGAAGGGAUGAAAGAGAUUAAAAAGGUGCUUAGAAGAAAAUACUUGCUAACCAGGUACAUACAUGUCUCGCCAGAGCCACCCACGUGGGCUUGAGGGCUUGGCUCCUUGGAAACGAACGACUUGAGCGUUUCCAGCUAUAUAGGCCCAAAGGUGCUUUUAAAACCGUGCUAUGCAGGCAUAAUGAUGUUUUCAUGUAACCAAAAAGCCUAACACCAAACAGAUGCUACAUACAACGGGUAUGGUUGAGUUUUUGUGGGCAACCAAACACACCCUUUAGUACGCACAACCGCACCUGCCUUUGCAUCUCGCGUGUCACGCAUGAUUUCGGCCGUCGCCACCUCCAUCUUCUUCCUCCCGGUCUCGGCCCUGUCACAGUUCCCUUACCUAUCCCACUGCACCAGACGGCCGCGGGGGCAGGGCCGGUCCUGAGACUUCUGGGGCCCGGGGCGAGACUAGAAUCAGGGGCCCCUCAAUAUAAACAUUAAAAUAAUACUUAAUAUAUGUAUAUGUGAAAUAUUAUCAAUAAACAAUAUAGGAAAGUGCAUCCCAAAUCAAAUAAUUCCUAUUUUACCUUCAAAUUUUCCUCUAGCAUUCCUGGAUGCAAUUAUGUUUAGUAUGGUAUCAAUAUAAAUCUCAUUCAAUAUUUUUAAAGUACCAAACUAUUUAAGCUCCCAUGGAGUAUAUAUCUAUUUAAAAGAUGUUCAUGCUUCUUCCUGACAAUAACUAUCACAUAAGGCAGCAUACCUCAGCCAUCAUUCGCACAUCUAGUGCUUCCUUAUACAUGUCAUUUUUGAUAAAAGAAAUUGUUCUUGAAGCAUUAGAACCAUCUUCUAAGCUCUAGAGAUGACAAGGAAAAUGAGCUGAAUAUCAUAAACUAUAUGAGAAAACCGUCGAACAAAACAUUCAGUAUAUUACUAGAUGUCGUCUCCAGAUCUAAAAGGCAUUAUUUUCUAUCAAAUUUGAUCCUGGAGAUAUAUGUUGAAACUUUCUAAGAGGAAGGAACCGUCUGAAUGCUUUUGAGAAAAGUGAUUUUGCAGAAUCACUACGAAACCAUAAAAUUAAUCAGCAAGUUAAUUGAACAGACAAGUCUUGUACAGAAUUAGAUGUAACUUAGUGUUAAUCCUGCUUCAGUAGACAUCAACCCCUACUUAUAAUUUCUCUAAAUCGAACAGUAACAUCACGAUCCUAAUUUUUGAAUGCCAAACUUAAAUCCUGCUGAUGAUGACUAUUCCUUUCCAUCGAGAGCAAGGGGAGAAAUACCAAAAUCCAUACAAUCCCACAAGAUUCAAUCAAAAAAGAGGGAAGCGAUCCUUACCAGGGCCUGAAGACGAG